This 472-nucleotide ribosomal RNA is filed under the name uncultured bacterium. RNAcentral's name for it is "partial 16S ribosomal RNA". It matches the Rfam family "Bacterial small subunit ribosomal RNA", at positions 28 to 507 of the family's 1533-position model. The record is from RNAcentral.
GACGAACGCUGGCGGCGUGCUUAACACAUGCAAGUCGAACGCUGAAGCUUGGUGCUUGCACUGGGCUGGUGAGUGGCGAACGGGUGUGUAAUACGUGUGUCACCUGCCCUUGACUCUGGGAUAAGCCUGGGACACUGGGUCUAAUCCUGGAUACGCCACGCCACUGCAGGGUGGGGUGUGGAAAGGGUUUAAGUGGUUUUGGAUGGGCUCGCGGCCUAUCAGCUUGUUGGUGGGGUAAUGGCCUACCAAGGCGACGACGGGUAGCCGGCCUGAGAGGGUGGCCGGCCACACUGGGACUGAGACACGGCCCAGACUCCUACGGGAGGCAGCAGUGGGGAAUAUUGCACAAUGGGCGGAAGCCUGAUGCAGCGACGCCGCGUGAGGGAUGACGGCCUUCGGGUUGUAAACCUCUUUCAGCACGGAAGAAGCGAGAGUGACGGUACGGGCAGAAGAAGCGCCGGCUAACUACGUG